Molecule: ribosomal RNA, 462 nt
Filed under: uncultured bacterium
Lineage: Bacteria
Description: partial 16S ribosomal RNA
Rfam family: Bacterial small subunit ribosomal RNA
Source: RNAcentral
GACGAACGCUGGCGGCGCGCCUAACACAUGCAAGUCGAACGGUGAAGCGGAGCUUGCUCCUCGGAACAGUGGCGGACGGGUGAGUAACACGUGAGCAACCUGGCUCUAAGAGGGGGACAACAGUUGGAAACGACUGCUAAUACCGCAUGACGUAUCGGGAUGGCAUCUUCCUGAUACCAAAGAUUUUAUCGCUUAGAGAUGGGCUCGCGUCUGAUUAGAUAGUUGGCGGGGUAACGGCCCACCAAGUCGACGAUCAGUAGCCGGACUGAGAGGUUGAACGGCCACAUUGGGACUGAGACACGGCCCAGACUCCUACGGGAGGCAGCAGUGGGGGAUAUUGGACAGUGGGGGCAACCCUGAUCCAGCGACGCCGCGUGAGGGAAGAAGGGUUUCGGAUUGUAAACCUCUGUUGACGGAGAAAAAAAUGAUGGUAUCCGUUUAGAAAGCCACGGCUAACUACGU